This 421-nucleotide ribosomal RNA is filed under the name uncultured bacterium. RNAcentral's name for it is "bacterial SSU rRNA". It matches the Rfam family "Bacterial small subunit ribosomal RNA", at positions 355 to 774 of the family's 1533-position model. The record is from RNAcentral.
UAAGGAAUAUUGGUCAAUGGACGCAAGUCUGAACCAGCCAUGCCGCGUGAAGGAUGAAGGUCCUCUGGAUUGUAAACUUCUUUUAUCUGGGACGAAAACGGGAUUUUUACCUCAAUUGACGGUACCAGAGGAAUAAGCACCGGCUAACUCCGUGCCAGCAGCCGCGGUAAUACGGAGGGUGCGAGCGUUAUCCGGAUUUACUGGGUUUAAAGGGUGCGUAGGUGGGCUUAUAAGUCAGUGGUGAAAUCUCCGAGCUUAACUUGGAAACUGCCGUUGAUACUAUAGGUCUUGAAUUAUCUGGAGGUAAGCGGAAUAUGUCAUGUAGCGGUGAAAUGCUUAGAUAUGACAUAGAACACCAAUUGCGAAGGCAGCUUACUACAUAUAAAUUGACGCUGAGGCACGAAAGCGUGGGGAUCAAACA